RNAcentral lists this small RNA (169 nucleotides) under Arabidopsis thaliana (thale cress). Its description in RNAcentral is "ATSL207690". The record is from RNAcentral. Lineage: Eukaryota; Viridiplantae; Streptophyta; Magnoliopsida; Brassicales; Brassicaceae.
GUUCCUCAACUGAAAGAUAUUGAGUAGAUACGCGAGAUAAGUUGCGGUUGACGUGGACGGCUGAGAUGGAGCGUCUCUUCAGCUCACCGCGUCUGACGAUCCAGAUCAGGCGCUGGGAAGAGAUCUCUACAAUCUCGAAAAGCGUGGUGAUGAUGGCUACUUUAAAUAA